UAUUGGGCAAUGGGCGCAAGCCUGACCCAGCAACGCCGCGUGAAGGAAGAAGGCUUUCGGGUNGUAAACUUCUUUUGUCAGGGACNNAANNNGNGACGGUACCUGACGAAUAAGCCACGGCUAACUACGUNNNANANGCCGCGGUAAUACGUAGGUGGCAAGCGUCAUCCGGAUUUAUUGGUUGUAAAGGGCGAGUAGGCGGGAAUGCAAGUCAGAUGUGAAAACUAUGGGCUCAACCCAUAGCCUGCAUUUGAAACUGUAUUUCUUGAGUGCUGGAGAGGCAAUCGGAAUUCCGUGUGUAGCGGUGAAAUGCGUAGAUAUACGGAGGAACACCAGUGGCGAAGGCGGAUUGCUGGACAGUAACUGACGCUGAGGCGCGAAAGCGUGGGGAGCAAACAGG
Molecule: ribosomal RNA, 400 nt
Filed under: uncultured bacterium
Lineage: Bacteria
Description: partial 16S ribosomal RNA
Rfam family: Bacterial small subunit ribosomal RNA
Source: RNAcentral